AAAACCUCAAUUCCUGAGUUUCCGUGUAUAACAUUUGACCAUCCGUAUUAUUUGAAAAAAAUAUGAAAAAAAUUUAAAAAGAUAAGUCAUGCAUAAAGUAUUGUUCAUGUUUUAUCAUCAAACAAUAAUGAAAAUACUAAUCAUAAAAAAACUUCAUAUAAGACGGACGGUCAAACGUUGGACACGGAAACCUAAGAAUUGAGUCUUU
Molecule: microRNA precursor, 208 nt
Organism: Oryza sativa Indica Group (long-grained rice)
Lineage: Eukaryota; Viridiplantae; Streptophyta; Magnoliopsida; Poales; Poaceae
Rfam family: MIR812 microRNA precursor family
Source: Rfam